UGUAUUUGGAUGAGUAAUAAAAGGGUUGAAGUGCCAGCCUAAUAAAUGACACCACAUCUAGAGGAAGAGCCAACAGGCCAAAGAAUGUGCUGGGUCAGGUAGCCCGAUGAUAACCCUGAGGGCACACCGGAAUCCACCCACAACUGCACCACCCCAAGGACAGGGGAGGCGGCCAAAGAAUCGAAGAACAAGAUAAUAACAAGCCGUCAUUGCUGUGCCAUCUGCAUGAUUGAUUAUCACUUCAAAGAUGAGAACAGCAUGAUGAAGCAAACCCUAUAGACUUGAAUGAGGAUAAAUCCUUAUAAAAACAGGCCCUGAAGACUGAGAACUUUGGGUCUGGUUCUGCAACCAACUUCCAGGAGCAUCAGAUGCACAUCGGACAAGGCCCCGCUCCCUCCUCGGGUCCAGGCCACCUGGCCAGUGACUUGGCACAAGCAACUCUAAGGCUGGGGUCAGUCUGGUCACUGAUUACCAUGGUCUUUGCUCCAGAGGGAACAAAAUUGCAGAGUCUGGAUGGACAUAAGUCAGAAUUGCUCAGAGAUCCUGGUUGAUUCACAAGAGACUACCACCCAGCACCUCACCUGACAGCGGGAGAAUUGCGUGAUUCCAUCAUGAGACAGAUCUGGAAACCAAGAUCCCAAUCCUGAAAACACUGACAAAUGCCAUUGAAGUCAAUGGACACUAUGGGCCUGAUCCAAAUCCAAUGGCAAGACUACCUUCCAAGUUUAUGUGAAGUUCUUCUGAAGUCACCUGCCAAGGACUGUAUUGCUUUUUAAUAAGAAGGAAGAAGGAACCUAUGAUGUAGCUAUGCAGUCCAAAGUCAGAUUAAGAAAGUAAGUCUUUGCAUGCACCUGAGUUGAAUUCAAUAUAACAGAUUUAUCAUUAGAAAAAAUAAAGGUGUGGUGGUGAAAUGUGAAAAAAGCUUCCUGAAUUGGAAAGGAUGCGAAAAAGAAUGUCACGUAUCCUUAAGUUCGCUUAUAUCUCUUGGUGUGUUAUUGAACAUGACUUGGACUAAGUAGCAAGCUUCAGAAAUAUACAACCAAAGGACAAAAUAGAAUUUACUGGAAGAAUAGCAGGAUUAGCAUAUUCAAGCUAACUGAUAACUUUUCGAGGAAGAGACUGUCUGGCUGUGCUUUAAAGAAGACAGACUUUCCAACUUUUUCCUGUUGUCUGGAUGCUAUCUUUGGCAUUCUUUGUUCCUAGACUUUCUACUCUUUGUUAUCAUACAGAAAUCUUGGAUUUCCCUUUAAGUACAAGACCUUAUUUCCUAUUUGAUAUCCUACACAAUGUUGCAUUGCAAAGAAAGAACAGUUAGUUCAUUAGGAACAAAACAGGGUUUGGUGAGCUAGGAAAUUCAAAAUCUCUAUGGUGUAAUAAUUACUUUACAGUAAGUAAUUUGUUUUUGCUGCCCUCUGCAACCCCACUUAAGUCAAUUAGGCUCAGAUCAUUCAAUGGGAGAUUGGCACCCAAAUACCUUUGAGGAUUUGGGCCUCUGCCACAAUCUUCCUGUGUAGCCUUGGACUAGUUAUUAAUCUUGCCUGCACCUUUUCUCUUGUGUUAAGUGGGAUUACACCUCACACAAAUGCUCUGAUUCCAAAAUAAUGCAUGUUUAUAAAGUGUUUUGAAAUCUUCCGGUGGAAGAGAAACAGAUUGAUUACUUGAGGCUGAUGUCAGGUUGCCCAAUGUAACAUCCUCACAAGCCACAAUCUGCUUGAAGCAGUGACAAAUCUGCUUGAAAGCCACUUUUUUUGUCAAGAAAAGGGUAAGAUGUAUGGUGGUAUGGGGUUAACAGUGACUAACCAGAGCUUUUGUGAAACAAAACACAGCACUGAAACUGGAAUGCAGAAAAUAUAAAAUUCAGAUUAAAGAAAUGCAGGAAGUAGAAUUGAGAAACAAGGUCACUGAACUAUUGACACUAUGUACAAGUUUGGAGGCUUUGAGAAAACUCAGGAAUGUGAGCUUCUUACAGUAUGUCUACACUGCAAUGUAAGCCCAUGCUUGAGCUUGGGCUCAAGUCUAACACCCCUUGCAUCUAUGCUGCAAUUGUGCUAACCCAGGACUCAAACCCAGGCUCACAGGACACCACAAGGUCUGAGCACAAGUCAAGCUGGGACUCAAGGUUCGCUCUAUUGCUUUGCAGUGUAGACGCUACUUCUUUGGACUUGUGUCCCAAUAAUCUGUCAGAAGUAUCCCACAAUUCCAUGGGACAACUUCCUUAGUCCUCUCUAUCCCAACAAUCUCCAAUCCACUCUACUGAAAAUGGAAGUCACCCUCUCCCCGCUUGGGAAACGGCAGCAGCUCAGGUCAGUGUUAACCCAUUCCGUUCUGAUCACCGGUCUGCAAGCACACGAUCAUAUCACUCUCUGGGUUUGCAAUGAAGAAUGAUCCCCUCAAGCUUUUUGCCAAGUGAACUGCUUCAUGGUGAAGGGAGUACAGCCAAAUUUUGGUGAAUCUCUGUUGUGAGGCCAGUAAAACUGUGGACUUCAGCAAAAGCACCAGGAAGUGGGCUGUAGUCCACGAAAGCUUAUGCUCUAAUAAAUGUGUUAGUCUUUAAGGUGUCACAAGUACUCCUGUUCUUUUUGCGGACACAGACUAACACGGCUGCUACUCUGAAACCAGAAAUUACAUGUGUACCAGAGAUAGCUAAAAAGCUGGCAGCUCUGUGUGAGGUUUUCCAGACAGGUGACCAGUGCAGGGAGCAUAUUAAGAAGCUGAAGAGUGAGUGCUGGAAGACCAGGGACAAGAACCACACCUCAGGCAACUUGCCAAUGCCAGGCCCAUUUUAUGAUGUCUUUGACCAGGUUCUGGGCACUGCACCCAGCACAGAGCCAAUCAUGCUUCAUGACGUUCUGGCAGCCGGGGUGGUGCCCUGUUGGCCCCUGAAUCCAGCAUGGGGACUGGGGGAGCCCGCAGCAGGUUCCCAGUGCAAAGUUUGAAGUGUCUUUUUAAAUGGAACCAGUCCCAGAGUAGGCUCUAGAUCAGGAUCAACAGCAAAUUCUCAGUCCCUAUUCAGAAGAGUGUUUGAUUUUCCCUUCUUUCCUCCCCUCCCCUGGAACAACCUGCUACCGAGCCAGCAGCACAUCCACUGGAGACAGACGCUGCCCCAGAGUCUGGAACUCAAUCCCUAUGUCAACGUACCUUCACCGAAUGUUCCAAAAGGAAGCGUUUCCUUGAUGAAGUUCUGAGAGGGUAGACCAGCAGGUCCAGCACCAGAAGAAGAGGGACGACAGACUGAAAUAACGGCAUGCUGACAGGCAGGAGGAAAGACUGAGGCACGCCUCCCCGGUGGAGGACAGGGUUUCAACGAGGGAGCAGGCACUUGCAAAGCAGUUCCUGGAACAGGAACAGUGGCUAAGGGAGGAGAACAGAUUUCAACAGAGAGAACUGUUCCAGCAACUCCUGUCCAUAAUGGCUCCUGCUGCCUCCUGAGCACCAUGACAUGAUGAUCACCCUGCAAUGUACCCUCAGUACAGCAGUAGCUUGGACAACUCCAUUUCAGAGCAGCCCAUGCAUUCAUGACUCAUGAGCAGGGCUGGCUCCAGGGUUUUUGCUGCCCCAAGCGGCGCGGGAAAAAAAAAAGCCGCGAUCACGAUCGGCGGCAGCUCCACCGCGUCGCUUUCUUCUUUG
Long non-coding RNA from Trachemys scripta elegans, 3627 nucleotides. RefSeq lists it as uncharacterized. Lineage: Eukaryota; Metazoa; Chordata; Testudines; Emydidae. The transcript has 5 exons. The record is from RefSeq and is a predicted model, not a curated record.